Molecule: long non-coding RNA, 506 nt
Filed under: Brassica napus (rape)
Lineage: Eukaryota; Viridiplantae; Streptophyta; Magnoliopsida; Brassicales; Brassicaceae
Description: long non-coding RNA (BNAP_LNC018952)
Source: RNAcentral
AGAAUGCCUGAGAUCAUAGAGAUCACAUUCAGACAUCAAAGUUCUGAAGUCAAUGAAUGUGCCUUCUGCUCUAGUCGGCCCGCCGUCUUUUUCAGAGUUAUCAAUGAUAUCGUUAAAAUCACCGGUAAGAAGCCAAGGGCCGGUCCUGGACAGAGAGAUUUCGGUUAGGCGUUCCAGCACUUCUCUCCGUCGUGCCUGUUCCGGUGCUCCAUAUGUAAAAGUUGCAAAAAACAUCUUGUUCUUGUAUUCGAUCUCGGUAUCAAUGUAGUUAUCGCAUAACUGAAGAACUCUAAGUUUAAUAGAAGCAUUCCAUAACAGAGUUAGACCUCCUCCUCCUGGACUAUGGGGAGGAACAUGAACUUGUGAUGUAAAAUUUAGUACAGUCAGUUUAUUGGUCACAACAUCUGGGGGAUUUUUUUGUCUCCAUAAGAAAUAGAAUGUCGGGAUCAAAAUCUUUCUUCAUCUCCCGCAAUCUCUGGACUGUUGUGGGAUUCCCCAACCCACAA